GGGGGUGUGUGGAUCAGCGGUACAGCAUCUGUUUGGCAUGCAAAAGGUCUGGGGUUCAAUUCCUGUCAUCUCCA
Molecule: transfer RNA, 74 nt
Filed under: Sphaerodactylus townsendi
Lineage: Eukaryota; Metazoa; Chordata; Lepidosauria; Squamata; Sphaerodactylidae
Description: tRNA-Ala
Source: RNAcentral